Molecule: ribosomal RNA, 388 nt
Filed under: uncultured bacterium
Lineage: Bacteria
Description: bacterial SSU rRNA
Rfam family: Bacterial small subunit ribosomal RNA
Source: RNAcentral
GACGAACGCUGGCGGCGUGCUUAACACAUGCAAGUCACGGGGGCUGGUGCAAACCAGUAACCGGCGAAUGGGUGCGUAACACGUGAGCGACCUGCCUUAUUGAGGGGGAUAGCCGGCCCAACGGCCGGGUAAUACCGCAUACGCUUGGAAGGGGGCAUCCCUUUUCAAGGAAACCUCCGGGGCGAUAAGAGGGGCUCGCGGCCUAUCAGCUAGUUGGUGAGGUAACGGCUCACCAAGGCGAUGACGGGUAGCUGGUCUGAGAGGAUGGCCAGCCACAUUGGGACUGAGAGACGGCCCAGACUCCUACGGGAGGCAGCAGUGGGGAAUCUUGCGCAAUGGCCGGAAGGCUGACGCAGCGACGCCGCGUGGAGGAUGACGCCUCGGUGGU